This 499-nucleotide ribosomal RNA is filed under the name uncultured bacterium. Its description in RNAcentral is "partial 16S ribosomal RNA". It matches the Rfam family "Bacterial small subunit ribosomal RNA", at positions 899 to 1397 of the family's 1533-position model. The record is from RNAcentral.
ACUCAAAUGAAUUGACGGGGGCCCGCACAAGCGGUGGAUCAUGUGGUUUAAUUCGAAGCAACGCGAAGAACCUUACCUGGAUUUGACAUCCUCUGACAACCCUAGAGAUAGGGCUUCUGUAGCAAUACAGCAGAGAGACAGGUGCUGCAUGGCUGUCGUCAGCUCGUGUGGUGACAUGUUGGGUUAAGUCCCGCAACGAGCGCAACCCUUGUCCUUAGUUGCCAGCAUUAAGUUGGGCUCUCUAAGGAGACUGCCGUGGUUAACACGGAGGAAGGUGGGGAUGACGUCAAGUCCUCAUGGCCUUUAUAUCCAGGGCGACACACGUGAUACAAUGGACGGUACAAAGGGAUGCCAAGUGGUAACACGGAGCUAAUCUCAAAAAGCCGUUCUCAGUUCGGAUUGGAGUCUGCAACUCGACUCCAUGAAGUUGGAAUCGCUAGUAAUCGCGGAUCAGCACGCCGCGGUGAAUACGUUCCCGGGCCUUGCACACACCGCCCGU